CCUACGGGUGGCACCAGUGGGGAAUAUUGCACAAUGGGCGCAAGCCUGAUGCAGCCAUGCCGCGUGUAUGAAGAAGGCCUUCGGGUUGUAAAGUACUUUCAGCGGGGAGGAAGGCGAUAAGGUUAAUAACCUUGUCGAUUGACGUUACCCGCAGAAGAAGCACCGGCUAACUCCGUGCCAGCAGCCGCGGUAAUACGGAGGGUGCAAGCGUUAAUCGGAGUUACUGGGCGUAAAGCGCACGCAGGCGGUCUGUCAAGUCGGAUGUGAAAUCCCCGGGCUCAACCUGGGAACUGCAUUCGAAACUGGCAGGCUGGAGUCUUGUAGAGGGGGGUAGAAUUCUAGGUGUAGCGGUGGAAUGCGUAGAGAUCUGGAGGAAUGCCGGUGGCGAAGGCGGCCCCCUGGACAAAGACUGACGCUCAGGUGCGAAAGCGUGGGGAGCAAACAGGAUUAGAUACCCGGGUAGUC
RNAcentral lists this ribosomal RNA (465 nucleotides) under uncultured bacterium. Its description in RNAcentral is "bacterial SSU rRNA". It matches the Rfam family "Bacterial small subunit ribosomal RNA", at positions 338 to 795 of the family's 1533-position model. The record is from RNAcentral.